RNAcentral lists this long non-coding RNA (734 nucleotides) under Chinchilla lanigera (long-tailed chinchilla). RNAcentral's name for it is "lncRNA (ENSCLAG00000024227.1)". The record is from RNAcentral. Lineage: Eukaryota; Metazoa; Chordata; Mammalia; Rodentia; Chinchillidae.
AAUGAGGUUUCACAUUUAUUAAAGGAGUGUGCUCUGUAGAGUGCAGACUGGGGUCAGAGAAAGUUUACAGUGGCCACAAAGUUAAUGGCCACAGUCUUUUGCAUCCCUCCAUUCUGACGUCAGAAGGUAGUAUUCUCUGAUGGGCGGGGGAGAGGGGCAGUGAAUUAUGCCUGGCCCUGGCCGUGAGUUUCCUGAAAGUUUUUAUUUUCAGGAAAGGACCUUGAAGAGUGGUGGGCUUUCAGGAAAGGACCUUGCCCGAGCGGUGGGCUAUGCCCUAAUCUCCGGCCUCAGGUGGCUCACCUGGACUCAGGCUGUGCUCUGGUACCUGGGUAAUGUGGUGGACAUGGCAGAGGAAGAGCACUAAUCCAUCUUGGUGAGGUUUGUUGAUGAAUCUCAUAACCUACGAGAAGAGUUUGUGGACUUCCUGCCUUAUGAAGCUGAUGCAGAAAUUUUUAUUUAUUUUUAUUUUACUUUUUAUUUUAAAGAGAAUAAAAAACCAAUAACAAAAUAACAACAAUAUAGACAAAAAUAAAACAAAGCAAAAACAAUAAAAAUGAUACAGGUUUCAAAGCAAAGUGAAAGGAAUUAACAGUGGUUGUUAUAUUACACAUUAUCUUCAACAAAGUUGCUCAGGGGCUGGGGAUUUAGCUCAGUGGCAAAGCGCCUGCCUGGCAAGCGCAAGGUCGUGAGUUUGGUCCCUGGUACCGGAGAAAAACCAAAAAAAAAAAAAAAAC